This 265-nucleotide ribosomal RNA is filed under the name uncultured bacterium. Its description in RNAcentral is "partial 16S ribosomal RNA". It matches the Rfam family "Bacterial small subunit ribosomal RNA", at positions 524 to 776 of the family's 1533-position model. The record is from RNAcentral.
UACGUAGGGACCGAGCGUUGUCCGGAAUCAUUGGGCGUAAAGAGCGUGUAGGCGGCCACUUAAGUCCUGCGUGAAAUCUUGCGGCUCAACCGCAAGCGGUCGUGGGGAAAACUGGGGUGGCUAGAGUGCGGGGAGAGGAGAGUGGAAUUCCUGGUGUAGCGGUGGAAUGCGCAGAUAUCAGGAAGAACACCCGUGGCGAAAGGCGGCUCUCUGGGAAACGCAAACUGACGCUGAGACGCGAAAAGCGUGGGGGGAGCAAAACAGG